Long non-coding RNA from Sycon ciliatum, 3231 nucleotides. RefSeq lists it as uncharacterized. NCBI's taxonomy places the organism in Eukaryota, Metazoa, Porifera, Calcarea, Leucosolenida, Sycettidae. The record is from RefSeq and is a predicted model, not a curated record. The transcript has 2 exons.
UGUGGUCGGUUAAUUGUAUGGCAAGCCAAAUCCUGAAUAGAACUGAUCUACUUCAAAGUAAGUAGUCGCUACACCCCUGGUUCGGGAAUUUCAAGAGAACCUCAAUGGCAUGGAGAGGAUUCCCAAAGUACUAUUAAACCUGUAUUCAAACCAGGGGAACUGUGCCCUCUGGCAUGGAGUCUGUAGAUCAGGUACUCAGGGCUGGCUGUACUGGGAGGAGGCUUAUUGUUUUCUGGCCUAUGGUCACGCACCAAGGCGCUAACAACACUUGUGCAAAGCGGGGAAUGCAUUUGAAGACAUCACUGCAGCUGCAUAAUAUGUGGUUGAAUAACCCUGAUGUUGCCCUCGUGGGUUAACAACUUAUGCACUGACUGCAGACCGUUGAAUGCUAUGGUGGUCAAGACACGCCUAGUACCUAGCGAACUCGCGUCAACACACGUCUGCCCACCCUAGCGCAGAGCUCUCCUUCUUACCAUCAUCAUUUUACAAAAUUCUUGUGUGUCGAACCAUUUGUACCAGCCCGCUAUGUCAGAUACCACCAGUCUUGCUUUGACCGGCCGCCAUGCAGAAAUUGAUUUUGGUGGUGGUGAGAGGGAGAGCUCUGUGCCAGGUUGUAAGCUUACGGAGCUUGUGUGGGAAGGCCGCCAUUUCACCUUGUGUCUUUGCCCCUUUUAUUUGAAAUUAGCAUUUGAAGUUCGAACGCUCGAAUGUUGAUCAGCAUAAAAGUUUUGUUGAAGUGCGUUAUUUUGUUUAUUUGUUGUUGGUGCAUGCCCGUGUUGCUGGUUGUGCGGAGAGUCAAACCAUCUUCAGCUUGAGUCUUUAACAUUCGGGUGUGCUUCCGUCGUCCCCUUGUAAAGGAACUCCAUUUCAAUGUAGUUGAUUUGUUGUCAAUAGUCUCGGUGUGGAGAUUGCAGGGGGCUGGGAUUAGUAGGGUUCAACCAGUUGCAACACGUUCAACCAAGCGAUGCAUUUGAUGGGGGUACUCAUACUCUGCACAGCAGUGUAGAGUAUUAGCACCAGUGACAGGUUCAUGUACAAACUGUUCUUGCAGAAAGUGCAUGCACAGUCGAAUCGUGUUGCAGCUUUCCUAACACCCUUCGCAUUGUUCCCAGACAUGUAGAAAGUGAUGAAUUCUCCGUCUUCCUCUGUUGUUUUUGCUAAAGCUGCUGUGGGAGUCUUGCAGUUUGCACUUUUCAAACAUGAGAGAAAGAACAUUCUUUCAUAGAAAAUGACAUUCAUCCCAGCACUAAUCCAUACUCACUUGGAUCAAUUAAUUAUUUCCUUCACAGUAGAGUGAUGCAUCUGCCGGUAGUAACUGAAAUGGCACCGGCUCCGGCCCGGGUCAGGGACAGAGAAAAUCACACCAACAUUCGACAUGAGGGUUUUUCUACCGGUUAGAUUCUACCAUACUUCGUCAAAGUCAGGGUGGUUCCUCAUUCAUCCAACACUCCAAGAAGUAUUGGAAUUUGGUGUGGUUUGGCCGCACCUGCCGCACCAGUUACUAUGCCCUGAGCCCUGUGGAAUUGUUACUCGUGAAUUGGGUGGGGAAGAGUUAGCGAGUCAGCCUGACAGUUGUUGCACUGCGCGAUCAAAGCAACGCACCGUGCAGAGCUCCUAGGUAAACCAGAGUUGCAUUCUCGUCGGGACCACUCUUUGCGGUGGCUAUUGGGCAUAUUCCCGUCCGUUCACUGAUGCUCGCUCCUACUUUCAGUUGAGAUCACACUCCACGUCUCCCGCAUUAUGGUACUAGUACUACUACAGGAAGUCGACAUACAUGUAUCAAGAAGAGCAUAAAACAGGUAUAUACAAGAUAUUCCUUUCUUGACAGCACAGUUGAGUAACCGAAAGACUCCUGUGAAAACACUUGCCAAUUCUAACCGGUUCCUGUAGAAAACCAUCGUGGUCUGUGUGAGCUGAAGUAGUUUGUUGUUUCAUCGGUGCUCAUUGUUUAUGUUCGUGUAGUUUUCUUCCUUUCCUUUCACAGGAUCAGGACGUGUUGAUGUUAUGUCGUGCCGUACACUUGUCAAUGGCAGUGUCGGAUUUGCGUACUUCUUCACCGCUGUGUUUGUGUCACGUUCACUGACACACCGCUCUGAUGGGACUCCAUCUUGCUGCUGCUUCCGCGUUCGAUGCUGCAGCAUAGCACUUCACAAAAACGUCCACCAAGUGCACAACAACAGAGACCCCAAAGCGGCAGACCAAGAAAACAACUAUUACUUCUGAAGUACCUACACAAAUAGCCCAAACCCAAUCUGUGGACCUGUUGGCACUGGUGGCGGAGGAGACUUAACAAGGCCGACCAUGGAAGGAGCAUGUGCCGCCGCCUUUGCUACUGCCCGGGGCUCCCCUGCCAUCGGAGUUUGCGGCGGUGAAACGUGCCAGUGGCAGGCCACGCCAAACCCCAACAGCAACACCAACACUACAAUCAACUACUCAAACAAACCUACCUUCUGCCCCAAUGGCACCAACACCAGCGACAUAACCAACAACAACUACUCAAUAAACCAACAAUCGACAGACCGAGACGAGCGACCGCAAAUUACAACAGGACGUAUGCACUGAACAGACAGGACAAAUGGACGGACCAGAAAAGAAGGCGAUGCCGCAUGCAACAUGAUCGUGUCGGAUUGGCAGAGACACAACGGAUGAUGUAAGCAGUGAGCCAAGCAGCUCAGCGAGGAAGAGAGAGAGAGUGAAUAUGAGUGGUGGUGGGAGUCACAGUGUGGUACGUAGGUUUUGUAAGAGAACUUGUUCAGUGUAGAAUCAUCUCGUAGCUAGUCCUGAUUGUAACUCGUAUUCUGAUUCUUGUUUCACUAGUCUGUGCCGUGGUUGUCAUGGUGACAGGUUACAGUACAAUGGUUUUAGAAGCCAUUUUGCACUCAAACUAGUACCCGCAAGUUGGUUGUUCUCAUUUUUCAUUGUUUGAAUCACUUUUACUGUUCAGUGCUGUUAUUACAUGUAGGUCUUACCUCUCAUACUUAAGUUUCUACAAGAGUUCAUUUGUGUUACGUUUGUUGUUGUGUGUGUACAAUAAAUUAACAACAUUUUUGGAUUACAACAGUUUCAUUUAGAUCCAAACCGAUAUGGAGGACAUCACGUGUUGAGAUGAUCCCCUUUGGACUAUAUUUCCUGUUGCUACUGUGCACGAUUGCUCUUCAGUGAUACUUGGUGUGAUAACACUCAAUACUCAUCAUAUUAAAGCCUGUGUUGAAUUCUGGAUUCUUUUAUUGA